RNAcentral lists this ribosomal RNA (460 nucleotides) under uncultured bacterium. Its description in RNAcentral is "partial 16S ribosomal RNA". It matches the Rfam family "Bacterial small subunit ribosomal RNA", at positions 338 to 795 of the family's 1533-position model. The record is from RNAcentral.
CCUACGGGUGGCAGCAGUGAGGAAUAUUGCUCAAUGGACGAGAGUCUGAACCAGCCAAGUAGCGUGAAGGAUGACUGCCCUAUGGGUUGUAAACUUCUUUUAUAUGGGAAUAAAAUGUUCCACGUGUGGGAUUUUGUAUGUACCAUAUGAAUAAGGAUCGGCUAACUCCGUGCCAGCAGCCGCGGUAAUACGGAGGAGCCGAGCGUUAUCCGGAUUUAUUGGGUUUAAAGGGAGCGUAGGUGGAUUGUUAAGUCAGUUGUGAAAGUUUGCGGCUCAACCGUAAAAUUGCAGUUGAAACUGGCAGUCUUGAGUACAGUAGAGGUGGGCGGAAUUCGUGGUGUAGCGGUGAAAUGCUUAGAUAUCACGAAGAACUCCGAUUGCGAAGGCAGUUCACUGGACUGCAACUGACACUGAGGCUCGAAAGUGUGGGUAUCAAACAGGAUUAGAUACCCGUGUAGUC